Molecule: non-coding RNA, 72 nt
Organism: Ornithorhynchus anatinus (platypus)
Lineage: Eukaryota; Metazoa; Chordata; Mammalia; Monotremata; Ornithorhynchidae
Source: the annotation of a RefSeq genome assembly
GCACUCGUAGCUUAAACUCUUAAAGCAAUACACUGAAAAUGUUUAGAUGAUUCGUAACUGAACCCGAGCGCA